This 501-nucleotide ribosomal RNA is filed under the name uncultured bacterium. RNAcentral describes it as "partial 16S ribosomal RNA". It matches the Rfam family "Bacterial small subunit ribosomal RNA", at positions 30 to 523 of the family's 1533-position model. The record is from RNAcentral.
AUUGAACGCUGGCGGCAGGCUUAACACAUGCAAGUCGAGCGGGGGGAGGUAGCUUGCUACCGGACCUAGCGGCGGACGGGUGAGUAAUGCUUAGGAAUCUGCCUAUUAGUGGGGGACAACAUCUCGAAAGGGAUGCUAAUACCGCAUACGCCCUACGGGAGAAAGCAGGGGAUCUUCGGACCUUGCGCUAAUAGAUGAGCCUAAGUCGGAUUAGCUAGUUGGUGGGGUAAGGGCCUACCAAGGCGACGAUCUGUAGCGGGUCUGAGAGGUGGAUCCGCCACACUGGGACUGAGACACGGCCCAGACUCCUACGGGAGGCAGCAGUGGGGAAUAUUGGACAAUGGGGGGAACCCUGAUCCAGCCAUGCCGCGUGUGUGAAGAAGGCCUUAUGGUUGUAAAGCACUUUAAGCGAGGAGGAGGCUACUUUAGUUAAUACCUAGAGAUAGUGGACGUUACUCGCAGAAUAAGCACCGGCUAACUCUGUGCCAGCCGCCGCCGUAA